RNAcentral lists this ribosomal RNA (484 nucleotides) under uncultured bacterium. Its description in RNAcentral is "partial 16S ribosomal RNA". It matches the Rfam family "Bacterial small subunit ribosomal RNA", at positions 30 to 507 of the family's 1533-position model. The record is from RNAcentral.
AUUGAACGCUGGCGGCAGGCCUAACACAUGCAAGUCGAGCGGAUGAAGGGAGCUUGCUCCUGGAUUCAGCGGCGGACGGGUGAGUAAUGCAUAGGAAUCUGCCUGGUAGUGGGGGAUAACGUCCGGAAACGGGCGCUAAUACCGCAUACGUCCUGAGGGAGAAAGUGGGGGAUCUUCGGACCUUACGCUAUCAGAUGAGCCUAGGUCGGAUUAGCUAGUUGGUGGGGUAAAGGCCUACCAAGGCGACGAUCCGUAACUGGUCUGAGAGGAUGAUCAGUCACACUGGAACUGAGACACGGUCCAGACUCCUACGGGAGGCAGCAGUGGGGAAUAUUGGACAAUGGGCGAAAGCCUGAUCCAGCCAUGCCGCGUGUGUGAAGAAGGUCUUCGGAUUUUAAAGCACUUUAAGUUGGGAGGAAGGGCAGUAAGUUAAUACCUUGCUGUUUUGACGUUACCAACAGAAUAAGCACCGGCUAGCUUCGUG